GAUGAACGCUGGCGGCGUGCCUAAUACAUGCAAGUCGAGCGAACAGACGAGGAGCUUGCUCCUCUGACGUUAGCGGCGGACGGGUGAGUAACACGUGGAUAACCUACCUAUAAGACUGGGAUAACUUCGGGAAACCGGAGCUAAUACCGGAUAAUAUAUUGAACCGCAUGGUUCAAUAGUGAAAGACGGGUUUGCUGUCACUUAUAGAUGGAUCCGCGCCGCAUUAGCUAGUUGGUAAGGUAACGGCUUACCAAGGCAACGAUGCGUAGCCGACCUGAGAGGGUGAUCGGCCACACUGGAACUGAGACACGGUCCAGACUCCUACGGGAGGCAGCAGUAGGGAAUCUUCCGCAAUGGGCGAAAGCUUGACGGAGCAACGCCGCGUGAGUGAUGAAGGUCUUCGGAUCGUAAAACUCUGUUAUUAGGGAAGAACAAAUGUGUAAGUAACUAUGCACGUCUUGACGGUACCUGAUCAGAAAGCCACGGCUAACUACGUG
RNAcentral lists this ribosomal RNA (497 nucleotides) under uncultured bacterium. Its description in RNAcentral is "partial 16S ribosomal RNA". It matches the Rfam family "Bacterial small subunit ribosomal RNA", at positions 28 to 507 of the family's 1533-position model. The record is from RNAcentral.